GCUACAGAUAGUACCAUUGCCCGUGACGGUGACGGGCAGGCAGCCCGUGGCGACCAUACUCCAACUCUCAAAGCUGAAAGAAAGAAAAAAUAUGGCAGAAGAGGCCUCUCUCUCCCUUCAAGCCCUCGCUUAAGCGCGCGGGCCUUCUCUUUCUUCUCUUGAUCCAAGUUUCAAAAAAUCUGGAAGGAAGGGAAGAUUUUUAUCGUGGUCUUGAUUUUAAUGGCGUGGGACUAAUAGGUAAACAAGAAUCAUUUAAGUAGAUAGGAAAUAAAACAAGUUGUUGAAAAUCUUGGGUGACAGAGAUAAAGAGGAGUUUAUUUUGCUUUCUUAAUGGCUGAGAUGUGCUGUGGAGUGUUGAGUGACGGCGAAGCCUCGACGCCGUGUGAAGAGAGUUCGAAAGCGGCUAGGCGGAGGAGAAUGGAGAUCAGACGGUUCAAAUUCGUGACAGGUGCUGCCCCGACCUCGCCCGAGACGGAGGAAAGUAAUAAACGCCAGAAAAUAGAAAUUCACACGGCGUCAUUGCAUGCUUCUGGCGGAGACGACUGCGAGGACUCUGUUGUGGAACACCAAGAUGAAAGAGUCGUUCUCAAGGUUGAAAAUAGAAAAUCGGAGACUAAAGAAAUUGUAAUUUCGAACAAGUCUUUGAGUCUGAUUCUAAGUCCUUCCAUUUCAUCACCUGCCAUAGAUCCAGACUUCUUUCCAAAAUUCGGGGUCGCUUCAGUCUGUGGAAGGAGAAGAGAUAUGGAAGAUGCAGUGGCAAUUUACCCAUCUUUCUGUCGCAAAGACGAAGAAUCCACCAUUGAAUUGCAUUAUUUUGGCGUCUACGACGGCCACGGCUGCUCUCACGUGGCAGUCAGGUGCAAAGAGAGAUUGCAUGAGCUGGUGGAGGAAGAAUUGCUAGAGAGCAAGGAAGCAAUAGUAGUGGCGGCUGCUGCAGAGUGGAAAAACGCGAUGGAGAGGAGCUUCUGCCGGAUGGACAAGGAGGUUAUAGCUUGGAAUGAAGGGGUGGUUGGUGCUAGUUGCAGGUGUGAGAUGCAAACCCCAGAAUGCGAUGCCGUCGGAUCUACCGCUGUGGUUGCAAUCGUAACCCCUGAUAAGAUCAUCGUGGCCAACUGCGGAGACUCUAGAGCCGUCUUGUGCCGCAACGGCAAACCCAUCCCUCUCUCUAGUGAUCACAAGGUUCGCACUCCUCUCUCAUAACGCCAAAUGCUAACGAAUUGUAAAUAGUGAUCACAGCUAUCUGAACCCAGUCUUUUGCUUGGGGUGGUAAAGCAAUAGACUUUUUCGGUUUCUUUUAUUUUUUCGUUUCGAUUUUCGUAGCAACCAAACAAGCGCACAAAAUGUGUGUAUUCCCGUUCUUAAGUUCUUGCAUUGCGAGUUUCGAAGAUUUUUUUAUUUUAUUAACUUGGGUAUUCUCCGGAUGCGUGGUGACAGCCGGACCGUCCAGACGAGUUGAACCGGAUCCAAGCCGCCGGUGGGCGUGUGAUAUACUGGGACGGUCCACGGGUUCUCGGAGUUCUGGCGAUGUCGAGAGCCAUAGGUAUUUAAUUUUUGUAUGGUAAAAAUGGCGCCAUUUUUAGAGUAUCUCACAUUUUUGUGAUAAUAAUUCGCAUAGGUGAUAACUAUCUAAAACCCUAUGUGAGCUGCGAGCCGGAGGUGACGAUAACAGAACGGACGGCGGAGGACGAGUGCUUGAUACUAGCCAGCGACGGGCUUUGGGACGUGGUGUCGAACGACACAGCAUGUGGAGUGGCGCGUAUGUGUUUGAGAGGGAAAGGACAGGUGCAGCAGUCAUGUUCUCCGCCAGAGAACGAGGUGGUGGGCUGUGGAAGUGCAGCCAGCAGCGGAUGCGGUGAAAUGUCGGAUAAGGCAUGCUCGUAUGCGUCGAUGUUUCUGACGAAGUUGGCUCUGGCCAGGCACAGUACUGACAACGUGAGCGUGGUCGUGGUGGAUCUAA
RNAcentral lists this unclassified non-coding RNA (1957 nucleotides) under Hevea brasiliensis (rubber tree). Lineage: Eukaryota; Viridiplantae; Streptophyta; Magnoliopsida; Malpighiales; Euphorbiaceae. The record is from RNAcentral.